CAGAAAGAUGGUGAAUUAUGCCUGGUCAGGGUAAAGCCAGAGGAAACUGGUGGAGGUCCAUAGCAGUCCUGACGUGCAAAUCGGUUGUCCAACCUGGGUAUAGGGGCAAAAGACUAAUCAAACCAUCUAGUAGCUG
This 136-nucleotide non-coding RNA is filed under the name Cavia porcellus (domestic guinea pig). RNAcentral's name for it is "Eukaryotic large subunit ribosomal RNA". It matches the Rfam family "Eukaryotic large subunit ribosomal RNA", at positions 816 to 953 of the family's 3401-position model. The record is from Rfam by way of RNAcentral. Lineage: Eukaryota; Metazoa; Chordata; Mammalia; Rodentia; Caviidae.